CAGUCGCCACGGUAAUCCGGAGGGGGCUAGCGUUGUUCGGAAUUACUGGGCGUAAAGCGCACGUAGGCGGCUUGGUAAGUUAGAGGUGAAAGCCCGGAGCUCAACUCCGGAAUUGCCUUUAAGACUGCCGAGCUAGUAGGUGAGAGAGGUAAGUGGAAUUCCGAGUGUAGAGGUGAAAUUCGUAGAUAUUCGGAAGAACACCAGUGGCGAAGGCGGCUUACUGGCUCAUUCUAGACGCUGAGGUGCGAAAGCGUGGGGAGCAAACAGGAUUAGAUACCCGUGUAGUCCCUGUCUCUUAUAC
Molecule: ribosomal RNA, 301 nt
Filed under: uncultured bacterium
Lineage: Bacteria
Description: partial 16S ribosomal RNA
Rfam family: Bacterial small subunit ribosomal RNA
Source: RNAcentral